GGGCCCGCACAAGCAGUGGAGCAUGUGGUUUAAUUCGACGAUACGCGAAGAACCUUACCAAGACUUGACAUCCGCAGAAUCUUCUAGAGAUAGAGGAGUGCCUUCGGGAACUGCGUGACAGGUGGUGCAUGGCUGUCGUCAGCUCGUGUCGUGAGAUGUUGGGUUAAGUCCCGCAACGAGCGAAACCCUUGUCUUAUGUUACCAGCACGUUAUGGUGGGGACUCAUAAGAGACUGCCCGUGGAAAGCGGGAGGAAGGUGAGGACGACGUCAAGUCAUCAUGCCCCUUACGUCUUGGGCCACACACAUGCUACAAUGGCCGGUACAAUGAGUCGCGAAGCCGCGAGGUGGAGCCAAUCUCAAAAAACCGGUCUCAGUUCGGAUUGUAGUCUGUAACUCGACUACAUGAAGUCGGAAUU
RNAcentral lists this ribosomal RNA (417 nucleotides) under uncultured bacterium. RNAcentral describes it as "bacterial SSU rRNA". It matches the Rfam family "Bacterial small subunit ribosomal RNA", at positions 917 to 1333 of the family's 1533-position model. The record is from RNAcentral.